Mustela lutreola (European mink) is the source of this 877-nucleotide long non-coding RNA. RefSeq lists it as uncharacterized. The record is from RefSeq and is a predicted model, not a curated record. NCBI's taxonomy places the organism in Eukaryota, Metazoa, Chordata, Mammalia, Carnivora, Mustelidae. The transcript is spliced from 4 exons.
CUUUUAUUCAUUUCUUCAUUCUCUCAUUUAUUCCUUCUGGUACUGUGGGUUCAGCAGUGAAUGAAACCAAGCCCUUGCCUUUGUGGAACUCAUCUUCUAGUAGAGAAGACUGACAGUGGAUUUUGGUUUGAGAGGAAGAGAGCGCAUGCGCGCGCCCAGACACACGCAGGAGUCCGGUGAGAGCUAGAGGGAAAAGCAGAUUCUUUUCGGAGCAGAAAGCCCCUGAUGGGACUGGAUUCCAGGCCCCUGGGAUCAAGACCUGAGCUGAAGACAGACGCCUAGUGACUGAGUCACCCAGGUGCCCCCCGGGCCACAGCUUUGAGAGCAAUGCGCUGUUGAGGACAUCAGGACCACGUCUGUGACUGAACCAAGAGAGCACAUAAGCGGGCCAACUGGCAGGCAGAGGGAGAAGCUCAGUCCCAGGACCUCAAGAUCAUGACCUGAGCCAAAGGCAGAUCUUUGACCGACUGGGCCACCCAGGUCCAGUGUUCCAGACACGGAGCUUUUGCUGGCCUUGGUUUUCAGGUGCUCAGGGCAGUGGCAGCCAUCUUGUGUCCUGUUCACCUUGAGGCCUACCUUCUCUGCUUCCUCCUUUGGGCUCCAUCUGUUUCUGACUCUGCUUGACUCUUCCUUUUCUCCUCAGGUAAUUUUCCUUUUAUGCCAUAACGUGGGCUGUGAAACUCUUGUUUAAUAAUUGUUGUGCUUUUAUGAGAACCGUAUGUCCUUCCAAGUCUGUUGUGCUACACUCAUGACAGAAUCUGCUUGGGUCUUCUGGAAUCUGUUCAAAGUCGCACAUAAUUCUUCAGUUCUCUCAUUUGAUAGAUCACUGUUUCAUAGGCAGUACUUGAGAACAAGGCUAAUAAUUGUAUUUACAAUA